RNAcentral lists this ribosomal RNA (497 nucleotides) under uncultured bacterium. Its description in RNAcentral is "partial 16S ribosomal RNA". It matches the Rfam family "Bacterial small subunit ribosomal RNA", at positions 28 to 507 of the family's 1533-position model. The record is from RNAcentral.
GAUGAACGCUGGCGGCGUGCCUAAUACAUGCAAGUCGAGCGAACAGAUGAGGAGCUUGCUCCUCUGACGUUAGCGGCGGACGGGUGAGUAACACGUGGAUAACCUACCUAUACGACUGGGAUAACUUCGGGAAACCGGAGCUACUACCGGAUAAUAUAUUGAACCGCAUGGUUCCAUAGUGAAAGACGGUUUUGCUGUCACUUAUAGAUUGAUCCGCGUCGCAUUAGCUAGUUGGUAAGGUAACGGCUUACCAACGCAACGAUGCGUAGCCGACCUGAGAGGGUGAUCGGCCACACUGGAACUGAGACACGGUCCAGACUCCUACGGGAGGCAGCAGUAGGGAAUCUUCCGCAAUGGGCGAAAGCCUGACGGAGCAACGCCGCGUGAGUGAUGAAGGUCUUCGGAUCGUAAAACGCUGUUAGUAGGGAAGAACAAAUGUGUAAGUAACUAUGCACGUCUUGACGGUACCUAAACAGAAAGCCACGGCUAACUACGUG